UGGGCGUUUUGUGAGGAACACAGCAGUAUCUGUUUGCAAACCACUUUGCUCACCUUGCAAAGGUUUCUCGGCCCCUGCCCCUCCCAAAGCCCAUUGCACCCUGCUGAUGCAGCUCAUUACUUCCAGCCUGCAAGGACAUUUCUCAUCAGUGUGGUGCUUUGCCAUUGCUCUGUGGAGGAGGAGAGGAAGCCUUAGCUCUCCUCUUUGCCAACCAGCAAGUAUUAGUCAUAAACCAGCUGAUUUGCUUCUGCUCUCGGUGUGAUUUUGAACCAGUUGGUUGUUAAAAGCUGUCAUUACCGUCCAUUACACACAAGGCUCAUAGAAGAGCUGCCCCUCGGCUCCUGAAUUGGGCAGGGAGGCCACCAGCAAGCGGUGACUGGCAGCCUUCUCAUCCCCAAGUGCUGUCAGUGCUUACUUGGCCUCUCUGGAUAUUUCAGACAAGUCUCCAGAGUGAGCUCCAGGACUUCUCCUGGCCCUUUCCUUGCAGAACCUCGGUGCUGGAGGCAACCCGUGCCUACAGUGGCUGCUGUGAGCCCUGGCAUGGGAGGGCUUGGCAACGAGAAGCAGCCUCUGCUGAUGGGACAGAGCCUUCCCUGUUGCUUUCCAGUCUCCUAUCCAGAUUGAAGUGACAUGUUCAAGGACGCUGGUGCACUAAGUUGUACUGGAGUUGUGCAGUGAGGACUCUGAUCCCACUGGCUCACAAAUAAAAGACUGAUGAAUUGCACUGA
Long non-coding RNA from Anas platyrhynchos (mallard), 728 nucleotides. RefSeq lists it as uncharacterized. The record is from RefSeq and is a predicted model, not a curated record. Lineage: Eukaryota; Metazoa; Chordata; Aves; Anseriformes; Anatidae.